UAAUCUGGUUGAUCCUGCCAGUAGUCAUAUGCUUGUCUCAAAGACUAAGCCAUGCACGUCUAAGUACAAACUAAAUGAUGGUGAAACUGCAAAUGGCUCAUUACAACGGUUAUGAUGUACCCGGGAGUUCCGAUGGAUAUUUCCAGUAACACUAGAACUAAUACAUGUCCCUGCGUUUAUUAGUUUCACACAGUCCGUCGCUGAGUCAUGGUAAACAGUUGAUCGACUCGACGUCCCGGAACAGUUUCCGCCCCAUCAGCUUCGAUGGUUGGGUAUUGGCCUACCAUUGCAACAACGGGUAACGAGGAAUUAGGGUUUGAUUUCGGAGAGGGAGCCUGAGAAACGGCUACCACAUCUACGGAUGGCAGCAGGCGCGCAAAUUACCCAAUGCAGACACUGUGAGGUAGUGACGAGAAAUAAUAAAGCGGGACUUCUGUUUCGCUAUUAUAAUGAGUAACAACCAAAGGUCGUUACGAUUAGCAACUGAUGGGAAAGUCUGGUGCCAGCAGCCGCGGUAAUACCAGCGUCAGUAGCAUAUAUUAAAAUUGUUGCAGUUAAAACGUCCGUAGUCUGUACGUCGUCCCAAACUCACUGCAGUCUUGCGUCUUCUUCACUGAAUGCGCAAGUAUCUGCAGUCACUCCCUUGAUCAAAUUAGGUUGUUCAAGGUAGACAGAGUCUUCAUAUUUUCACAUGGAAUUGGGUGAGGGAACUUAAGAGUUUAAGUUUCUCGUCUUAGGAUCAUCCGGGGUCAUUCGUACUCGUCCGCGAGAGGUGGAAUUCUUGGACCGGACGAAGACGACCAGCAGCGAAAGCAUCUGUCAGGGAUGUUUUCUGCGACAAAGGACGAAGGUCAGGGUAUCGAAGACGAUUAGAUACCGUCGUAGUCCUGACUGUAAACUAUGCCAACUUGGGUCUUGCUGGGCUAAUGCUUUGUGAGACCCACACAGAAAUGAAAGUGUAUGGGUUCUGGGGGUAGUAUGGACACAAGUCUGAAACUUGAAGGAAUUGACGGAAGAGCACCAUAAGACGUGGAGCUUGCGGCUUAAUUUGACUCAACGCGGGAAAACUUACCAGGUCAAGACAUGGGCGUGAUUGACAGGCUAAUGACUUUUCUCGAUUCCAUGGAUGGUGGUGCAUGGUCGCACUUAGUUGGUGCAGUGAUUUGUCAGGUUUAUUCCGGUAACGAACGAGACCUC
RNAcentral lists this ribosomal RNA (1197 nucleotides) under uncultured marine eukaryote. Its description in RNAcentral is "bacterial SSU rRNA". It matches the Rfam family "Eukaryotic small subunit ribosomal RNA", at positions 1 to 1344 of the family's 1831-position model. The record is from RNAcentral.